Molecule: ribosomal RNA, 498 nt
Filed under: uncultured bacterium
Lineage: Bacteria
Description: partial 16S ribosomal RNA
Rfam family: Bacterial small subunit ribosomal RNA
Source: RNAcentral
GGAUGAACGCUGGCGGCGUGCCUAAUACAUGCACGUCGAGCGAACGGACGAGAAGCUUGCUUCUCUGAUGUUAGCGGCGGACGGGUGAGUAACACGUGGAUAACCUACCUAUAAGACUGGGAUAACUUCGGGAAACCGGAGCUAAUACCGGAUAAUAUUUUGAACCGCAUGGUUCAAAAGUGAAAGACGGUCUUGCUGUCACCUAUAGAUGGAUCCGCGCUGCAUUAGCUAGUUGGUAAGGUAACGGCUUACCAAGGCAACGAUGCAUAGCCGACCUGAGAGGGUGAUCGGCCACACUGGAACUGAGACACGGUCCAGACUCCUACGGGAGGCAGCAGUAGGGAAUCUUCCGCAAUGGGCGAAAGCCUGACGGAGCAACGCCGCGUGAGUGAUGAAGGUCUUCGGAUCGUAAAACUCUGUUAUUAGGGAAGAACAUAUGUGUAAGUAACUGUGCACAUCUUGACGGUACCUAAUCAGAAAGCCACGGCUAACUACGUG